This 73-nucleotide transfer RNA is filed under the name Candidatus Magasanikbacteria bacterium RIFCSPHIGHO2_02_FULL_47_14. Its description in RNAcentral is "tRNA-Thr". It matches the Rfam family "tRNA". Rfam says of the family: Transfer RNA (tRNA) molecules are approximately 80 nucleotides in length. Their secondary structure includes four short double-helical elements and three loops (D, anti-codon, and T loops). Lineage: Bacteria; Candidatus Magasanikiibacteriota. The record is from RNAcentral.
GCCACCCUAGCUCAGCUGGUAGAGCAACGGUUUUGUAAACCGUAGGUCGCGAGUUCGAACCUCGCGGGUGGCU